GCGGGCGUAACUCAGUGGUGGAGUGACAGCUUCCCAAGCUGUAGGUCGCGGGUUCGAGUCCCGUUGCCCGCU
This is a transfer RNA of 72 nucleotides. It matches the Rfam family "tRNA". From Rfam's summary of the family: Transfer RNA (tRNA) molecules are approximately 80 nucleotides in length. Their secondary structure includes four short double-helical elements and three loops (D, anti-codon, and T loops). The record is from Rfam.